This 87-nucleotide transfer RNA is filed under the name Kiritimatiellota bacterium B12222. Its description in RNAcentral is "tRNA-Leu". It matches the Rfam family "tRNA". Rfam says of the family: Transfer RNA (tRNA) molecules are approximately 80 nucleotides in length. Their secondary structure includes four short double-helical elements and three loops (D, anti-codon, and T loops). Lineage: Bacteria; Pseudomonadati; Kiritimatiellota. The record is from RNAcentral.
GCCGGAGUGGCGGAAUUGGCAGACGCGCCGGAUUCAAAAUCCGGUUCCCGUAAGGGAGUGUGGGUUCGACUCCCACCUUCGGUACCA